AAAUUGACUAUGAUAGGAAAAGUAAGUUUAUAGGAGCUAUACAGUGAUUUAGGAGUAGUGAAAACCUAAAUGGUAAAUAUAGACAGAAGGACAUCCUUGAGUUGUUUGCCUGAAAUCUCAGUAGGGUAAAACGGAAAUCCACCGUUAUAAGGACAUGAGUGAAUCAAAUUAUUUUGGAUUAAGCAGGAUGGUACCGUGGAAUAUUACUUCCACUCCUAUA
This 220-nucleotide non-coding RNA is filed under the name Clostridium pasteurianum. RNAcentral's name for it is "T-box sequence". It matches the Rfam family "T-box leader". From Rfam's summary of the family: Uncharged tRNA acts as the effector for transcription antitermination of genes in the T-box leader family. T-boxes are found upstream of many aminoacyl-tRNA synthetase genes and some amino acid biosynthetic genes usually in Gram-positive bacteria. Lineage: Bacteria; Bacillati; Bacillota; Clostridia; Eubacteriales; Clostridiaceae. The record is from RNAcentral.